AGAGUUUGAUCCUGGCUCAGGAUGAACGCUAGCGGCAGGCUUAACACAUGCAAGUCGAGGGGCAGCGGGGAGGAAGCUUGCUUUCUCCGCCGGCGACCGGCGCACGGGUGAGUAACACGUAUGCAACCUGCCCCUGUCAGGGGGACAACCCGCCGAAAGGCGGGCUAAACCCGCGUACAUGCCACCGGGGCAUCCCGGAGGCAGGAAAGGCUUCGGCCGGACAGGGAUGGGCAUGCGGCGCAUUAGGCAGUAGGCGGGGUAACGGCCCACCUAACCGACGAUGCGUAGGGGUUCUGAGAGGAAGGUCCCCCACACUGGUACUGAGACACGGACCAGACUCCUACGGGAGGCAGCAGUGAGGAAUAUUGGUCAAUGGUCGGGAGACUGAACCAGCCAAGCCGCGUGAGGGAGGAAGGUACAGAGUAUCGUAAACCUCUUUUGUCAGGGAACAAAGGCGGGGACGUGUCCCCGGAUGAGUGUACCUGAAGAAAAAGCAUCGGCUAACUCCGUGCCAGCAGCCGCGGUAAUACGGAGGAUGCGAGCGUUAUCCGGAUUUAUUGGGUUUAAAGGGUGCGCAGGCGGUCUGUUAAGUCAGCGGUCAAAGCCCGGGGCUCAACCCCGGCCCGCCGUUGAAACUGGCAGUCUCGAGUUGGAGAGAAGUAUGCGGAAUGCGCGGUGUAGCGGUGAAAUGCAUAGAUAUCGCGCAGAACUCCGAUUGCGAAGGCAGCAUGCCGGCUCCACACUGACGCUGAGGCACGAAAGCGUGGGUAUCGAACAGGAUUAGAUACCCUGGUAGUCCACGCAGUAAACGAUGAAUGCUGGCUGUCCGGGGGGACUGACCCCUGGGUGGCGAAGCGAAAGCGAUAGGCAUUCCACCUGGGGAGUACGCCGGCAACGGUGAAACUCAAAGGAAUUGACGGGGGCCCGCACAAGCGGAGGAACAUGUGGUUUAAUUCGAUGAUACGCGAGGAACCUUACCCGGGCUCAAACGGGGAGUGGCGCAGGCAGAGACGCCUGUUUCCCACGGGACACUCCCCGAGGUGCUGCAUGGUUGUCGUCAGCUCGUGCCGUGAGGUGUCGGCUUAAGUGCCAUAACGAGCGCAACCCCCGCGUGCAGUUGCUAACAGUCAACGCUGAGGACUCUGCACGGACUGCCGGCGCAAGCCGCGAGGAAGGCGGGGAUGACGUCAAAUCAGCACGGCCCUUACGUCCGGGGCGACACACGUGUUACAAUGGGUGGUACAGCGGGAAGCCAGGCGGCGACGCCGAGCGGAACCCGAAAUCCACUCUCAGUUCGGAUCGGAGUCUGCAACCCGACUCCGUGAAGCUGGAUUCGCUAGUAAUCGCGCAUCAGCCAUGGCGCGGUGAAUACGUAAGCGGGCCUUGCACACACCGCCCGUCA
RNAcentral lists this ribosomal RNA (1402 nucleotides) under uncultured bacterium. RNAcentral's name for it is "16S ribosomal RNA". It matches the Rfam family "Bacterial small subunit ribosomal RNA". The record is from RNAcentral.